AUUGAACGCUGCGGCAGGCCUAACACAUGCAAGUCGAGCGGAUGAAGGGAGCUUGCUCCUGGCUUCAGCGGCGGACGGGUGAGUAAUGCCUAGGAAUCUGCCUGGUAGUGGGGGAUAACGUCCGGAAACGGGCGCUAAUACCGCAUACGUCCUGAGGGAGAAAGUGGGGGAUCUUCGGACCUCACGCUAUCAGAUGAGCCUAGGUCGGAUUAGCUAGUUGGUGGGGUAAAGGCCUACCAAGGCGACGAUCCGUAACUGGUCUGAGAGGAUGAUCAGUCACACUGGAACUGAGACACGGUCCAGACUCCUACGGGAGGCAGCAGUGGGGAAUAUUGGACAAUGGGCGAAAGCCUGAUCCAGCCAUGCCGCGUGUGUGAAGAAGGUCUUCGGAUUGUAAAGCACUUUAAGUUGGGAGGAAGGGCAGUAAGUUAAUACCUUGCUGUUUUGACGUUACCAACAGAAUAAGCACCGGCUAACUUCGUG
This 483-nucleotide ribosomal RNA is filed under the name uncultured bacterium. RNAcentral describes it as "partial 16S ribosomal RNA". It matches the Rfam family "Bacterial small subunit ribosomal RNA", at positions 30 to 507 of the family's 1533-position model. The record is from RNAcentral.